UGAGAUAUCCCAUAGCAUAAGCUAGUAAGGCCCCUGGGAGACGACCAGGUGGAUAGGACAGGGGUGGAAGUGCGGCAACGCAUGGAGCUGACUGUUACUAAUAGGCCGAGGGCUUGACCUAA
RNAcentral lists this ribosomal RNA (122 nucleotides) under Clostridiales bacterium. RNAcentral's name for it is "partial 23S ribosomal RNA". It matches the Rfam family "Bacterial large subunit ribosomal RNA", at positions 2805 to 2925 of the family's 2925-position model. The record is from RNAcentral. Lineage: Bacteria; Bacillati; Bacillota; Clostridia; Eubacteriales.